GUGAGGAAUAUUGCGCAAUGGAGGCAACUCUGACGCAGCCAUGCCGCGUGCAGGAAGAAGGCGCUACGCGUUGUAAACUGCUUUUAACCGGGAAGAAACCCCAGGACGUGUCCUGGGUUGACGGUACCGGAGGAAUAAGCACCGGCUAACUUCGUGCCAGCAGCCGCGGUAAUACGAAGGGUGCAAGCGUUAUCCGGAUUCAUUGGGUUUAAAGGGUGCGUAGGCGGAGCGUUAAGUCAGUGGUGAAAUCCUGCAGCUUAACUGUAGACUUGCCAUUGAUACUGGCGCUCUUGAGUGCGCUUGAAGUGGGCGGAAUGUGCCGUGUAGCGGUGAAAUGCUUAGAUAUGGCACAGAACACCAAUUGCGAAGGCAGCUCACUAAGGCGAUACUGACGCUGAGGCACGAAAGCGUGGGGAUCGAACAGGAUUAGAUACCCGGGUAGUCCC
Molecule: ribosomal RNA, 446 nt
Filed under: uncultured bacterium
Lineage: Bacteria
Description: partial 16S ribosomal RNA
Rfam family: Bacterial small subunit ribosomal RNA
Source: RNAcentral